Molecule: RNase P RNA, 322 nt
Filed under: Candidatus Shapirobacteria bacterium CG_4_10_14_0_8_um_filter_39_15
Lineage: Bacteria; Candidatus Shapironibacteriota
Also listed under: 2 other names
Description: RNase P RNA component class A
Rfam family: Bacterial RNase P class A
About the family: Ribonuclease P (RNase P) is a ubiquitous endoribonuclease, found in archaea, bacteria and eukarya as well as chloroplasts and mitochondria. Its best characterised activity is the generation of mature 5'-ends of tRNAs by cleaving the 5'-leader elements of precursor-tRNAs.
Source: RNAcentral
UUGGGAAGCCGGAUAAUGGCACUGAAAAUUUGUUCGCAAAUUUUUAGUGAGGAAAGUCCAGACAGCAGAAAGCAAGGUGUCCCGACAAUAUCGGGAUUCCCGACUCAAAACGUCGGGACAAGAAAGUGCCACAGAGACGAGCCGGGUGACGCCGGAGUGAAACGACCAAGUUACUGGGUCUCCGCAUAACUGCGAAGGGAAAACCUCCCUGCUGCAAUCUCCGAUUGAUCCGUUUGAGGAUGCUUUCCCGAGGAUCGAAGUUCGAGAGCGUUAGAUUGAUCAUUAUUUAGAACAGAAUCUGGCUUACGGGCCUCCCAAACAA